RNAcentral lists this ribosomal RNA (68 nucleotides) under Podosphaera xanthii. RNAcentral's name for it is "partial 18S ribosomal RNA". Lineage: Eukaryota; Fungi; Ascomycota; Leotiomycetes; Helotiales; Erysiphaceae. The record is from RNAcentral.
UAUUGUAUUUUUUAUUGGUAAAAUGUUGAACAAAAGGUUCCGUAGGUGAACCUGCGGAAGGAUCAUUA